This 424-nucleotide ribosomal RNA is filed under the name uncultured prokaryote. RNAcentral's name for it is "bacterial SSU rRNA". It matches the Rfam family "Bacterial small subunit ribosomal RNA", at positions 355 to 796 of the family's 1533-position model. The record is from RNAcentral.
UGGGGAAUCUUGCACAAUGGGCGCAAGCCUGAUGCAGCCAUGCCGCGUGAAUGAUGAAGGCCUUAGGGUUGUAAAAUUCUUUCGCCAGGGAUGAUAAUGACAGUACCUGGUAAAGAAGCCCCGGCUAACUUCGUGCCAGCAGCCGCGGUAAUACGAAGGGGGCUAGCGUUGUUCGGAAUUACUGGGCGUAAAGCGCGCGUAGGCGGAUUGAUCAGUCAGGGGUGAAAUCCCGGAGCUCAACCCCGGAACUGCCUUUGAUACUGUCAAUCUAGAGAUCGAGAGAGGUGAGUGGAAUUCCGAGUGUAGAGGUGAAAUUCGUAGAUAUUCGGAGGAACACCAGUGGCGAAGGCGGCUCACUGGCUCGAUACUGACGCUGAGGUGCGAAAGCGUGGGGAGCAAACGGGAUUAGAUACCCCGGUAGUCC